AUACUUAUCUGGCAGGGGAUAUACCAUGACCAUGAAGGUGGUUCCCAGGGUGAGGCUCAUCCAUUGCACUCUGGUUGUGUUGACCCCUGUGAUUUCCCCAAAUGCAGAAUUUGUAGUAGUGAGGGACUAUGUGGUUUCCCCUGU
RNAcentral lists this small nuclear RNA (144 nucleotides) under Saimiri boliviensis boliviensis (Bolivian squirrel monkey). Its description in RNAcentral is "U1 spliceosomal RNA (ENSSBOG00000016807.1)". It matches the Rfam family "U1 spliceosomal RNA". From Rfam's summary of the family: U1 is a small nuclear RNA (snRNA) component of the spliceosome (involved in pre-mRNA splicing). Its 5' end forms complementary base pairs with the 5' splice junction, thus defining the 5' donor site of an intron. The record is from RNAcentral. Lineage: Eukaryota; Metazoa; Chordata; Mammalia; Primates; Cebidae.